UGGGGGAUAUUGCACAAUGGGCGAAAGCCUGAUGCAGCGACGCCGCGUGGGGGAUGAAGGCCUUCGGGUUGUAAACUUCUUUUGCUCUGAACAAGACAUGCCUUUGGGGUGUGUUGAGUGUAGGGGUUGAUUAGCGCCGGCUAACUACGUGCCAGCAGCCGCGGUAAUACGUAGGGCGCGAGCGUUGUCCGGAAUUAUUGGGCGUAAAGGGCUUGUAGGUGGCUGGUUGCGUCUGUCGUGAAAGCUCAUGGCUUAACUGUGGGUUUGCGGUGGGUACGGGCUGGCUUGAGUGCAGUAGGGGAGGCUGGAAUUCCUGGUGUAGCGGUGGAAUGCGCAGAUAUCAGGAGGAAUACCGGUGGCGAAGGCGGGUCUCUGGGCUGUUACUGACGCUGAGGAGCGAAAGCGUGGGGAGCGAACAGG
This 420-nucleotide ribosomal RNA is filed under the name Fusobacteriota bacterium. Its description in RNAcentral is "Fusobacteria bacterium partial 16S ribosomal RNA". It matches the Rfam family "Bacterial small subunit ribosomal RNA", at positions 355 to 776 of the family's 1533-position model. Lineage: Bacteria; Fusobacteriati; Fusobacteriota. The record is from RNAcentral.